CCUGUUUGGGCUGGAUACUGAGUUAACAAGCCUGUGACAAACCUGAGUGCUUGACCUGAGGAAUCUCACUGCUCUGCCUUGUGGAAGGAUUCCUACUGGAAGGCAACAGAAUCUCCAUCAAGUCAGCAAACUGCUGGAAAGCUCUCCCUUCUGACACUGACAUGAAGUAGAAUCUGAGCAACAGAAUUAUGAAUGUGGACUUACUUCAAUAACCUAAAAAGCCCUGGAAAACUGGUGAUGAUAUACAACACAGAGAAAAACCCCAGGAGUUCAAAAUCAUGUGCUUUGUAUCUUUAAUGAAACCACCAGCAAAUGUCAGAAUGACAUAGGACAUAUAUAACUCUGAUGUCACCAGCUUGAGAGCAUGUCUUCCUGAGGUCAGAAUCCCUGUGGGAAGGACCUCUGUGUCACUGAGGGCCAGUUCACGGUGUCAUCUUUGAGAGUGACAGAAGUCCCAGGACCUCUCAGUGCCAGCCUGAACCCUGGAGAUCUGGCAAAGGGCCAGGGCUGGAACUCAUUUGUUUCCUCCAGACCUGGCAUUGUGUGUUUCUAUCUGAAGUGGAUCAGGAGUCUGCUCUGCAAACCAGGAG
RNAcentral lists this long non-coding RNA (590 nucleotides) under Zonotrichia albicollis (white-throated sparrow). RNAcentral's name for it is "lncRNA (ENSZALG00000007114.1)". The record is from RNAcentral. Lineage: Eukaryota; Metazoa; Chordata; Aves; Passeriformes; Passerellidae.